UUAACUAACAUAUUACUUAUUACAUCACAUAUUGCCAUUCCUUUUUUAUUCUUUGAUUCUUACUUCCAAAUACAAUCAAGUUUCCAACAUAAUUAUUACAACAUUAUUCUUUCCAUCACUAAACCCCUAAGCUAAGCCGACUUAGGGUAUCGCUAUCUCUGGUCUCGGUGGUAGGGCGCUAACUACGGAGCUACUCCCUUUCCUUGCACCGCCGCGCCGCUCACGUGUGAACCUGUACCCCCAAAAACAACA
Molecule: long non-coding RNA, 252 nt
Filed under: Ananas comosus (pineapple)
Lineage: Eukaryota; Viridiplantae; Streptophyta; Magnoliopsida; Poales; Bromeliaceae
Description: long non-coding RNA (ACOM_LNC002117)
Source: RNAcentral